Molecule: transfer RNA, 67 nt
Filed under: Amycolatopsis keratiniphila
Lineage: Bacteria; Bacillati; Actinomycetota; Actinomycetes; Pseudonocardiales; Pseudonocardiaceae
Description: tRNA_Pseudo_CCG
Source: RNAcentral
GCCCUAGUUAAGGCACUUAACGGCCCUCCGGAGGCAGGUGUCGCAGGUUCGAAUCCUGCCGAGGGCA